GUCUUUUAUGCGUGCAGUGAAAUCCGGCAGAUAGGCCAAGCAUGCCAGCUGCAGUUCUGAUGUUGAGUGGUGAAAGUGCAUUGCCUGAACCGGAAAAACCUGGUUUUUACAGUGAAAGGGAUUUAGAUGACAACAAAGUCGAUCCUUGUGCAAACAAGGUUACAGUUUUUUCAGCUAAUGAAGAUACAUUUACCCUACUCGAGGCUCGAUAGUUCAUAUUUCAUGUUGCUGUUUAUUUCGUCAUAACUUGAUCUGAUGUCUAUUGGAGUGAGUUAAGUUGAUCAGAUAUUUCUCGAGUAAUCCUGCUUAUACAUUUUCUUGCCUUACAUAUGCUUUGCUCUGAUAUCAGCGGUGACUCGAUUGGAGAGGAAUUCAAUCUGAUUAGAUAAUACAUUUGAAUUACUGUGAUUUGGAUUCAACAGAUUGUUCACUGUAUUUUCUAAUGUUUACUGCAGUAUGGGAUGAAGUAAUGAUUUUUUUUUUCGGCACAACUUAAUUAAACAGAGUCCAAAAAAACACCAACAUGAAAGGUAAUAAGGCAAACGACAAAGCAAACAAAGGUGCAAAACACAACCAAAAUCAGCAACCAAGAAUCAGGGAUAUUACGAGAAUGCAAAACUUCGCCGUUACCUGGAAAAACAUGAACUUUGACUAAGAAAAUCCGCAGGGAAUGACAGCGGCAUAAAAAAUAGAAGUCAGUUGUCCUGGAAUCAUUCUGAACAAGCCCUGCCAAAAUUAUAUUAUAUUAUUCCUAUAGAGUAAAUUGUAACUAUCUUCCUUUAAUUUUAACUCAAUUAGAGCAAUGGUUCAUCAAUUAAAAUUUAUUAUCAUUGGUCCCUCAACUCAUCAAAACGUGCAGCUAUGAUCAACAAUGGUCAUUCCAACAUAACUCGUUUUGACAAAAUUUUUGACGUAGUUGACGAAAAUGAUCAUAACUACACACUUUGAUGAGUUGAGGGAUCCUAAUUAUAUAAAUAGUUAUUCCAACAUAACUUAUUUUAACAAAAUUGAUGAAAAUGACUAUAAUUAUCCAUUUUAAUAAAUUGAGAGAGCAAUGAUAAUAAAUUUUUAGUUAAAGAAUCAUUGGUACAAUUUAUUAAAGGUGAGGGAGCUUUCUUCUAGCUUUUUCUCUGUUGUUCUCGCCGCUUUCACGCAUUUUGGCCCUCCUUUUGUUUGUCUCUGAAACCUUAAUUUUUCUUUUUCUCUGUUGUUCUCGCCGCUUUCACGCAUGUUGGCCCUCCUUUUGUUUUAUCUGAAACCCUAAUUUUUUUUUCCCUUCCCCAUUUUUCUUAUCUCACUGUUUCUCAAGUCGCUGAUUCCGCCCUUCUCUUCUCUCGCUCUCAAGCGUUCAGCAUCUCACGCUCUCAAGCGUUCAGCGUCUCUCGCUCUCAAACCUCGCCGAUCCGUCGAAACCCAUAUUCCUCAGCGUUUCCUCAAAAUCCAAGGUACGGGCUUCACCCAACCGUGAAUUUUUUGAAUCGUUUUUUAUUUUUUAUUUUUUAUUUUUUAUUUUUUGAGUUUUGGAUUCAUAAUUUUCUGUUCGGUAGCUGAGAAAAUGUGAUCCCGUGGUUUAGUUUUGGUGUUUUUGUGAUUUUGGGUUAGUAGGUUUUUCGAAUUUUGGGGUGUUUGUUUGUAGGCUCCAAAACCCUCUGUUCUCAAGGUAAAUAAUUUAAAAUUCUGGGGUUAUUCAAUUUAUAGUUUAGUUUAGGUUUUUUUUUAAUAAUCGGAGUUGAGUUUGGUAUUUUGUUUGUGUUUGAUUAUGUUGAAUUCGGAUUUCAGUGCACUUAUGUUUGGGUUUUAUAUUUUCCUGCAGGUCGUGAUUGAGGGAGCUUGAAAUGGCAAUUGGAAUUAAGGUCAUAAUACAUAGUAAGUGUUUGGUUUUUUCUUCUGCUACAAAGUAGAAGUUGAGAAGUCCCGUUUUUAUGUUUACUCAUCUUUCAAGAUAGUUUACGGAAUAUAUGAUGUUUUUUUCUUUAAAUUUCUAUUGCAAGGUGGCGAUUUCAAUGCCACCACAAGAUAUGGCUUUUGAGCCAAUAUACUGGUAUUGACAACCAGAAGCUAAUGGAGUGGGCAGCCAAGAUAUGGUUUUCCUGCAUUUGUAUAUGUUUGUGGAUCCAGCCUUUGACUGAAAAACAUCAUAAGAUAAAGAAGUCCCCAUAUUUUUAUGUUUACUUUUCAAGAUAGUAUUACGGAAUGUAUGUUUUUUUAUUUUUAAUUAUUUUUAAUUUUAUUUCUGCUACAAAGUGGCAAUUUCAAUGUCACCACAACAUAUGGCUUUUGAGCCAAUAUACUGGUAUUGCCAAUAGAAGCUAAUGGAGUGGGCAACCAAGAAAUACAGCAAUUUUAGUCUUAGUCUUACUUGUUUCAUUGGUGUAUUUGUACCCUUUUUUGUAUUGUGAAUCAGGCAAAAUUGAACCGCCACCUCAUGUGCCGCAGCUGCAUCAAAGGCUGGUUCUCCAACGACGUUGUUUUCUAGAGCUCUCUCUACGCAAGGUAUGCAAUUUAGAGUUUUGGCCCCGAAAAGGUAGCAUUUACCGCUGAGUUCUUCAGCUGAUUUGGGGUGGGUAUUUUUGUGGUUUAAAUAUUAUGUGUGUAGAAGUGUAAAUUUUCCUUUCUAAAUGAGCUUUCUGUUGAAAUUUCAUUUUUGUGAUUUUGGGGAUUUAUGUUGAAAUUAUUGAAAAGGAUACAAUUCUUAAAAGAAUUCAGUUUACUUCAUACUCCUUUUCAAAUUCAAAAGGAUAAAUCAAAGGCAAUAGAUUUGUAUAUUAGGUACAUUGAUUAUGUUCGUUUCUUUUUUCCAGAAACGUCAAUAUCUAUCAUCUGGUCCUCUGAAGGGGGAGUGCCUAUCAAUUUCAAAAACUAGAAAGCAACUCAUAUAAAAGUCAUAAUAGCUGCUUUCUUACUUCCAAGGUUCGUGCAUAUUUCUCCAUUUUUUCAUCGGUUACUUUUUUUAGUUACAUUUUCUUUUAUGUUCAAAAUUAUUGUGUUUCAGUGCUGUCUUUGUAUAUCAACUUCGAAAUUCAAACACAAAUGGACAAUAUUAAUAGAACCCUAUUUUCAUCUAAGAAAAUAAAGAAAUGAACUGUGAAAUUUACUCUAAGAAGAGCUGAUCUUGCGUGUGGAAGGGGAAUGAUAGCGAAAAUGUCAAUAAGAAUAUUAGAUGACUCCCAAAUCAUCUUAGCUAUCUGUUGGAAAAAGCAUUUCUCUAUGAAUCUUAUAGUGCAAGUUCUUUAAUAACGAAGUUGAUUCAUUAAACCUGACAAGUUCGCAAGACUGAAAAUUUGAUAAGCAAUGUCCAUUAUGUAAAAAAAUAAAUGUGACAGAUCGUAAAAUGAGGGCUGUUAUUUUCAAGUUCUGUCCAUCAGUAGGCAAUUCAUAUCAUUGUUUAUGACAGUGUAGAGAAACAGUGGAAUCAACUUGACAUUUUCCAACGAGACUCCAAUUUUCUUGACGGAUUUCAUGCUCGAUUUCAAUCUAUUAUCUACUUGGAUCCAUUUUUUUCCAAGCCUAAUUAGUUCUUGGAAGUGGUCUUUCAUGUUUAAUAACUAUUUUUACACUUCGGAAUUCUCCAUGUUCUACCUGGUAGUCUUGAAAAUUUUAAAUUAUAAAUGCAGGUUUGUGUUCGUUUGCCCAGAUGCUAUUUCGAAGCUGGAGUAGGCAUUGUUGAUGAAUCCUAGGAAAGAUGAUGCUCUGUGGUGUUUUGGAAAUGCUCAAACUGCUGCGGAUUAUGUACUCCGGACCAGAAUGAGGCAAGAGUUUAUUCCCAAAAGGUGUCUGAUGAGGUACUUUCACUGAAAAAUCUCAAAGAAAUUGUAUUGUUUUUCAACUUUCGAUGUGGAAUAAGUAUUAUAUGUUCUUUUUGCAGGAGUCGGGUGAUUUUGAAUCUGUAUAUUAUGCUUACCGUCGAAAUUUGAGUGGUUGCUCAGUUUGAAUUUACUAUCAGCUUAAGCUCAAUAUUCACUCGCUUAAGUGUGGGUAACCUUUUAAUCUCAGUAUAUCAUAGUUUUUCUUAUCUGAAUAUCUGAUAAUUGUUUUCCUUUGGCUACUUGAUUGUGGAUCUCAAUAUUGUUUGAUCAUUAGAGUAAUGCCUUUGGGUGGUUUGUGCUAUUUACCGGGAAUCUUAAUAUCAUGUUGUUGAUGCUAAUUAAGAACUGAAUUGAUCUUUAUGAUAUGUUUGAAUUUCUUGAUGGAUUGAUUGAACUUGAAAGUAUAUGCUUUGAUAUAAUUGGAGGAAAUAAAUGAAAAGGAGGGAAGUGAGAUUGAUUACAUAAUCUGUAAGUUGGGUUUAGUGACAUAUAAAAUUGCAAUUUCAAUGAUUUGAACUACUUUCUGGGUUGGAACGAGUUUCUAAAUUACUUGCAGAUUACUAUUUUUUAAAUUAACUAUAAAUUUGUUGAGAAACUCUGCACACAAUCUAAUUUAUAACUACAUUACUGUUAUAAUAUACCAUUAUAUCCACAAUCACAUUGAUUGAUGUUUUUGCAGGAAUGGCUCUUGAACUGAAAACAAGAGAAUUCGAGUCCAUCAGUAGCGAACUUCUGACACUUGCAUGACUUUUUGAACAGAAAAUGAGAAGGUUUACUAUUUUAGUUUCUACGUGUGCAUUUGUUUGGUAGAUAUUGAUUGAAUUUUAUUACUGUUCACAAAAAAACUAGGGUCAGCAACUUGCUUUCAUUCUGCUUGCGUUGGUGUUUGUAAUUCUUAGUUCUCGACUCAAGUAUUGCUUAUGAAAAAAAAUGAAAUUGCAUAAUCUUUCAUACAAUUUGCUUUCAUUCCGCUAUACAUACUCACGUGCAAUGCUAAUUGAACUCUUGCUAUGCCGCAGAGAGAAUUCAGCGUGUAGAAUUUGGCUCUCUUCAAAUGUCAGAUCCCCAUGGCUACCCUGUAUAUUUGCGGGCAACAGUUAUUAACAUCUAAUGCUUGAAAUUUAAGUAAGCACGCAACUGCUUUGUACGAUUACUAAUCCUAUUGCGAAAAACAGAACGUCACAAAAUACAGUGAAAUUGAGUUGCAAAUUGUCUAGUGCCUGAUACAAACUUUGACAUGAAUGUUGCUGUAGUCUUGACCCAUAGUAGAAAGAAUCCAGCAACUUCAGGACCAACACAGGAUUGUAGAAAAACGAGGCAAGAAAAGAGGGUUGAGAACUGAUUCAGGCUUCACAUUAUGCAAUGCAAAAUGGAAGUUCAAUUGCACACCAAAACAAUAUCAAUAGCCGGCAAUAAAUGUAGGGUUUAUGAUUGUCCUGUAAUUUAUUGUCAAUGCCUUUUCCACUAUAAAAAUCCAAUCAAUGAAGAUGAUUAAACAGUCGUGAAUGUAAAUUUCUAAAUAAAAAAGAAAACGAUAAAAACAGUGGAUGGAUUAUUCAGUACAGAAAGAAUAGCAGUAUAGUCGUUACCCGGCGAGAUGUUCUAUCACAAACUGCAUGGUGCAUGAGAAGGCCUGCAGCAACUGAAACAUUGAGAAAGAGUCGACCAUGCCUUUCAUUGGAUUACUGCAAUGCAAAUCUGACAAAGCCAGGGCCUCAUCACUUAUUCCCCUAAAUUAGACACUGCAUUCAAAUUAAUAUCGAAGAAGAACAUAUCUAAGAUGUAAUUUUCUUCAUGUUACUAACUUUUUCUCGGUUGAAUUUCUAAAUUCUUCAUCAGGUGCAAGUGUAUCAGAAAAUUUGAUAUUGGUCACAGAGACACACAAGUAUAUCAGUUUAAAAUUGAACAAAGAACCAGCGUGGAUGAUAUCGAAAAAUGUAAUGAUCACUAAAUAGGGAAAACGUAUAAUACCUAUUUUCAUUUCCGACUACAAUCGCAGUUGGGCAAGACCAAUCCAUGUCGUAUUUAGAAACUUUAAAAUACAAAAUGGAGGAAUAACUCAGAUACAUGCUUGAGAGUAAAACUGUGGAACAUCACUACUACAAAACCAUUUAAUAAUGUCGCAAUUCUAAUUGACAAAAAACAGCUCUUUCUGUCGGCUAUUACACAAAAUCCGACAGAAAAUGGGUGCAGCAGCGGUUAUACUAACCGACAGAAUUGCCAGCGUCAGGAAAUUAACUUUCCGAUAGAAAUUGCAUGAAAACCGACAUAACUUAUGUCGGAUAUAUUCGACAACAUGUACUCAACUAAUGACGGAUUUUAUUAAUUUGUCGGCAAAAACCGACAAUAAUUAACGGUAACAACCGACAAUAAUUAAUAAAUUACUGUCGGAUUAACAUUUUAAAAUAUUAAGAAAAACAACUUUCCGUCGGUCACAACCGACAGAAAAAUAUUAAUAAAUAAAUUGUUACGGUCUCAGGCUUUUUUUUUUAAUUUCUAAUUGUAUAAAUUUUUUUUUUUAAAUUUCUAAUUGUAUAAAAAAUUAAAUACAAUAAAAGAAUAAAACAAAACGAAAUAUGCAUUCAAAUAUAACGUUCGAUAAUGUCAUUUAAAUCCGCCAUAACAAAUAAAGUUGACAUCAAAUAUAAAAUAACCCAAAAUACGAUCAUCUGCAUCCGCCAUAUUACAUAACUACACAAAAAACAUUCGCCAAAGUAGACAAAAGUGUCAGACAUAACCGUAAGGAAAACCAACAAACUAUUCAACAGAUCCCGAGCCUUCCACCGAUCCGCCCUGCGCUCCAGAGCCUUCUGCCGAUCCUCCCUGUGAACCAACACCUUCUGCCGAUCCUCCCUGUGAACCAACGCCUUCUGCCAACCCUCCAUGUGCUUCCAAAUACCUCAUCACAUCCCCAUCAAAACUUCCCAUCACCAACCCAGAUAAGAAACCCGAUGAUAAUCCACCAUUGAAACCACCUUGAGAAAAAUGUGCGUCACCGGGAGAAGCCAUCUUCGGUCGAUAUACUGGCAUUGGAUACUGGGGCUGGAAAGGCAUAUGGUGCAUGGAAUAUACAGGCGCUGGUGGCUGCAAUGGGGCUGAAUGCUGUGAUGCCUGAGGGCUGGGUGGUGGCCGAAUGCUUUGAAGCCACAACAUUAUUUGAUGUUGAUUCAUCAACAUCUGCUGAUUCAUCGCCUGCUGCUGUGAGGUCUUUGAUUUCUCUAGCUCAACCAUUACCUCUGCCAACUUUCUGGAGGCUUCUUCCUCCCUCCUCCUCAACUCGUUGUUCUCAGCAACCACCUUGGCAAAUGAACCUUUGGAUGAACUCCUGGAUGACCUGGAACCUGAAGAGCUUGCAUAUGACACCAUUUCUGGUAUCACCCCAUGGCCAUAGCCUCGUACCCUAUUUCUUGUCUCAGACCCCAUCUGCUCAACAUAAAUCUGUGUUCGUACGUCCGACGUGUCCUCUUGCCCAGACUCAACAACAAACUGAACUUGACUCUCCAUAGAUGACUUUCAAAACAAUAUUUAAACAAAACAAUAAAAACAUUAUUAUAGAAAAAUAAUGUGAUAAACAGAUCCAGCAACAGACUGAACUUGAUUCAUAAAAACAGCUUCAUCAAACCAAACAGAAAGAUACACAAGUUUUACAUUAAAAAUAGAUUCCACGUUUAAUUUAUAUGUUCUAACAAAUCCAAUGACAUUUUUAAAAUAAUGUGAUAAACAGAUCCAGCAUUCCAAAUAGAAAGGAAAAUAUGAAUUAAAUACAAAGUCAUAAUUCAAAUAGAGUUCAAAAUCAUUUACCCCUCUCUGUUGGGAGGAUUCAUCAAUCCAUGAGUCGUCUUUCCUGGUAUGAGUUGCUCGAAAAAAAGAUAUGGGAUCCGGCUCCUUCCCAUGCUUUCUCUUCUUUAAAUCGUGAAAAGAGAACAACAAAAUCCAUAUUAAACCCAGUUUAUAUACAAAAAUUAAAAACACAACUUAUAUUAAAAAUUAGCAACACUUACAAGUUCCUCACGAACCCGAGCAAAUGUUUUGGAACCAGUCGUAUGGUUCAUCGUUUUUGACUCCCGAUUAAACUUGUUUUUCUCUGCCACCUCCUGAAAGUUAAAAAAAAAAAACAUUAUAAUACAAACAUUUCUACACCAAAAAUCAAACCACAAUUUUUAACCUUUGUUUUUGGAUUAUCCCAAUACGCUAACAUCUUAGCCCACUGACCACCAUCCACACCAGGGGGAGGUUCCAAGCGCUCUUCCUCUUGUCUUUGGUGUAAUACUCUGCUUUUAAGUUGUUACGAUACUCCUUGUAAGCAUGAUCCGCAACAUGGAGGGUCAUAUUGCGAAUCAAUGGAAUUCUAUCCAAGUCUUCAUCUAGAAAAAUGAUAUAUCCCUACAAUAAUAAAAACAACCAUGUUACAACAAAUCCGAAAUAAGUCUUGGUUGAACUAUAGAAAUACAAACGAAAACAUAUACCUUAAUUCUUUCCCACAAACCAUCCUUAACAUCUUCAGGUACCAAUCUCCAAUCCUUCUUCAAUGGAAUAAGUCUUGGAUCCUUAACCUCUGAAGCUACCAAUUUCGAAAACUCAGAGGCAUUUUCACUAACACAUUUCUCUUUCGAAUCAAAUAGACAAAGCUGUUUCUCUUUCCACUUUGGAAUAGCAGCUCCACGGGUCCUACGUCCACUUUGUUCCUCCAUGUUAAAGGGAAGAAGAGUAAAAAUGGGUAGCAGUAAAAAUGGGAUGGAGAAGAGGAACUGUGUAGAAAUGGGAUGGAGAAGAGGAAGAGAGUAGAAAUGGGAACAAAGUAAAAAUGGUGAAGUUCAACCAGGAAGUCAGCUAAAGUAAAAAUGAGAAAUAAAUGAGGUAAACAAAUGUUGGCGGUUAUAUCCGCCAGUAAGUAUAAAUCCGACAGAAUUUUCAAACAUUGUGGCGGUUAUAUUCGCCAGGAAAAGAAAAUCCGACAGUGUCUGACAUUAAUAUGUCAGACGGUGCAUUUAUGAACAUCAGUUGGCAGAUAUAUGAAUGUCAGAGGAUGCAUUUAUGAAGGUCAGACUAGUGUCGGGUAUAUCCGACAAUAUUACUAUUUUGUGUCGGUUUUAUCUGACACAAAUAUUUCCUCUGUAUUUUGUUUUUGCGCCUUUAAUAUUUUUGAGUAACGGCGUGGGAAAAAUCCCGCCCAAUUUUUUUUUCCUUUUACUGUCGGUUAUAUCCGAUAGGGAUGUGAAUAAUAAAAAAAAAAAAUGAAACCAUGUGUUUAUACGAAAAUAACAUUUUAAAUUUUACCACAUAAACUAAAAUAUUUUAAAUAAAAAUCACCACACAAAUUAAAAUAUAGUCUAAUUAUUACUUAAAAAGCAUAAAGUAAAUUAUAAAACUAUUCCAUUUCAUCUUCUGUUAGAUCAUCGACGACAUUGACAAAAUCAGGGAACUGGGUAGGCAACGGUAAUACUUCGUGAAAAGGAGUCUCUUCCACGCCAACCCUUGUAUGCAAAUUUUCAUUGUCAAGUAAACGAUCAUCCAAAUCAGGUAUGGCAUAAUCAUCAAGUGCAUCAUUAUCCUCCAAUACGUCAAAUAAAUCUCUCGGCUGCGUUCAAAGAACAACAUGCCAAUCUUUUUCAAUUGUGUCCUCCACGUAAAAUGCUUGUAAUGCUUGUAAUCCUUUCACUAUUAACCCAUUCACACUUAAACAACAUCACAGCUCGACCUCUAUCUCCAACUUCGGUAGGGCCACAAUAUCUAACCUUAAACAUGUCUAUGACUCUGCCAUAACAAUUCACUUGCCCAAUUGCACCAGGGACAUUUGCAGGUACAAAGACACCACAAUUUUGAUUCUUAUGUUUAUCGUCCACAGAUUUUGUACGAAAUCUAAACCCAUGAAUAAUGUGACUUUUAUAUUUCGUCACAACCCUAGGAUAAUUGGCUAGCCAACGCAAGUCUUCAGAUAUCAAGUUGUCAUUAGCAUGACAUCUUGAAUUAAUCUGUAAUAAGUAAAAACAUAAAAGUUGACACAACAAAUGUAAACACAUCAUAAUUAAAAUAUAAAAAAAGAGUAAAAAUGUGACUGUUAUAUUAACUCACAUGUUGCCUGAACCAUUCUGGAAAUUCCUUCUUGCUUAGUUUUUUGAUUUGUCGAAUUGUUAGCCUUGCUCGACGAUGUUGAUUUUUCAAGAAUUCCUCAUGUUGCCUAGCCAAUCAAGUCCAAAUAUGCUUAACUAAUUUUUCAAAAUAAAGAAAAUUGAUAAACCAUUAAGACGUAUGACUAGAUGUUCUUACCUUCUAAAUGGGCUGACCUCAUCACAAUUAUUUAGAAUGUAUAUGUGGCAUUGAUCAAGAACAUUUAACUCAAGCUCCACAUUUUCUCCUGAACCCAUAUAACAUCCUUUAGAGGAAAAUAUUGAUAACCCACCAGAUACUCCACGUCCAAUACCAUCUUCAUUUCGACCUCUACGAGUGCGACGAGACUCGACAUCUCUAAGAUACAAGGAACAAAAGGACAAGCACUCAUCCACCAAAUAUGCUUCAGCAAUAGAACUUUCAGGAUGACCCUUAUUAUGAACAUAAUGCUUCAGUGUUUGCAAAAACCUAUAAUUAUAAUACAAAACACAAAUUAUUAUAAUUACUAAUAAAAAUUAUCAUUAGAAAUUAACAUAUUUUAUAAAGAUUUGUUAAUUACCGUUCAAUUGGAUACAUCCAUCUAUAUUGAAUAGGCCCUGCAAUAGCGGCUUCAUCUGCCAAGUGAACUGGGAGGUGCAUCAUUACAUCAAAAAAUGCAGGCGGGAAUAUCUUCUCCAAUUGACAUAAUGUCAAGGCAAUUCUUGAAUUCAAUUGCUUGAAACCUUCCUUGGACUCCUUCUUGCUACACAAUUGUCUGAAAAUUGCACUCAACUCUAAUAAUAUCAUAGUAACUGAUUUAGGCAAAACCGCACGUAUUGCAAGCGGGAGUAACUGCUGCAUUAAAACAUGACAAUCAUGGCUUUUCAAUCCAUGUAUUUUUCGUUCAUUCACAUGCACACAUCGUGACAAAUUUGAUGAAUAACCAUCGGGAACCCGAAUAGUAGCCAACACUUCACAAAAUGCAGUUUUUUCUUCUCUUUUCAACGUGAACAAUGCUGGAGGUCGAAAUGUUCUAUUUCCUUCCCUACGUGGAUGUUGUCCAUGUCUUAUGUUCAAGAUUUCAAGAUCUGCACGUGCAGCCAAUCCAUCCUUAGACUUUUUAUCCAUAUCUAACAAUGUUCCCACUACAUUGUCACAUAUAUUUUUUUCAAUAUGCAUAACAUCAAGAUUGUGUCUAAUCAACAAAUGUCUCCAAUAAGGUAGUUCAUAAAAAAUAGAUUUCUUCUUCCACUGACUCUUACUACUUGUGCUGCUCUCAGUUCGUUUUCUACGUUGCCCAACCGAAGUAUCUUUCUUUGGUUUUCCAAAAAUAAAUCUCAAAGUACAAAGUUCUUCAAGACAUUGUAAACCAGUCCACUGCCUUGGUGCAUUACGAUGCUCUCGUCGACCAUCAAAAGAUGUGGUUUGCCUUCGAAACCUAUGAUCAGCAGGAAGAAAGCGUCGAUGCCCUAAAUAGCAAAUCUUACGACUCGCCGGCAAAUAAAUAGAUUCUUUAUCAUGCAUGCAAUGUGGACAUGCUUUAUAUCCAUGUGUACUCCAUCCUGAUAACAUUCCAUAAGCCGGAAAAUCACUUAUAGUCCAUAAGACGGCAGUCUUCAUAGGAAAAUUUUGGUUGAAAUACGCAUCAUAAGUAGGAGUGCCCACCUCCCACAACUCAUUCAACUCAUCAAUCAAUGGACGCAUGUACACAUCAAUCUCUUUACCGGGGCUGCGUGGUCCUGGUAUUAACAGAGACAACAACAAAUUUGGUUGUUUCAUACACAUCCAGAGUGGUAAAUUGUAAACUGAAAGCACCACAGGCCAUGUGCUAUGGUCUUGCCUCAUUUUUCCAAAAAGAUUAAAUCCAUCACUGGCCAACCCCAAUCGAACAUUUCGAAUUUCUGAUCCAAACUCCGGAUAUAAAUUAUCCAAAUGCUUCCAUGUUGGAGAAUCUGAAGGAUGUCUCAUAAACCCAUCCUUAGGACAUUCAGUUGUGUGCCACCUCAUAUGCUCAGCCGUAUGCUUCGACAUAUACAACCGCUGCAAUCGUGGUUUUAAAGGAAAAUACCACAUAACCUUAGCUGCGAUUUUUUUCUAGAGCCAUUCUCUUCAUUGACAUUUUUAUAUCUUGAUUCACCACAAACUGAGCAUGCGGUCAACUCUGCAGUUUCUUUCCAAUAAAUCAUGCAAUUAUUAGGACACGCAUCAAUCUUCACAUACGUCAGACCCAAGUCAUUUAUAAGUUUUUUUGCCUUAUAACAAGAUUCAGGCAAACAAUCUCCAUCAGGCAACAUUUUUUUAAUUAACUCGAGUAACUUGGUGAAGAUCCCAUCCGACAUUCUUGCUAUACACUUAAUCUGAUACAAUCUUACAAUUGCCUCCAAUUUUUUAAAUUCUUUACAACCUGGCCACAAAUCUUGAUAUGCCUCUUCAAGCAACUUAAAAGUCUCGACCUCUUUCGGACGCUCUUCCCCAGAAAGGGGCUCAGUAGACGGCCCAAUACCUUCUUCCGUUAAUGGUUGGACAAAUACCUCAUUAAGAACAUCAUGAAUACCAGUCAACCGAUCUUCUGUUUCAAUAGAUGGCCCAACACCUUCUUCUCCAAUCCCCAUAUUUUGCUCUCCCAUGAAAGAUUCCCCAUGAUGUCGCCACGAAGCAUUUUUGUAAUCUUUAUCCAUAUCAUACAACACAAGAUGUUCGACAAUAGUUUUUCUAACAAAAGUAUAUUGAUUACAACAUCUUUUGCAAGGACAUCUAAACUUAUCGGGGCCAACACCAUUUGCAACUGCUUGAUCCAAAAACAAAUUAAUUCCAUCUGUAUACGUUUCCAAAUUUCGUGAUACUGUCAACCAACUCUUUUUCAUGUUUUACCACUGUACAAGAGCAAAUAUUACGUUGAAACUAAGAUGCCUACAAUCUUUCAAUCCCUAUCAUGUAGGCAUAACUAUUAGAAAUUUCAAUCACUAUCUUUCAACCUCGAACUAUCACAAUUGCAAUUUAAUUUCCAACACCUAUCACAGUAAAACAAAUUAAAAAACAAUAAAAGGUUAACAAAAAUAUGUUUAUCUACACUCUUCAUUAUUUAUUAAAUUUAAGUUUUGUAUAUCCUCAUAGCAAUUACAGUGAAAUAUUUAAUUAGUUAACAUAAUAUAUACCUAUAUUACUAAAUAUUACCAAUUUAUUUUAUAUUAAAUAUUAUCAAUUUAACAUAAAUAUUUACAAAUAAUAUUUAUCUCAGUUUCUUUAUAACAAUUUAAGUAAAUCAAAUAAAGUAACGGAACACAAAUAUUCCUAAUUUAUUUUACUAAUUAAAUUAAAAUCUCUGAAUAAAUAAUCAAAUAAAGUAAUGGAACACAAAUAUUCCUAAUAUAUUUUACUAGUUAAACAAACAAUUUAAACAUUAAGAAAUUCAGUAAUAAAACCUGAAUUAUUGAAGAAUUAUGUCGUCGAUCUACUCUUUAUGUAGUCAACCACCUAAAUAAAGCCCUUGCAAAAUCAAAUCAUAAAAUAAAAAUAACCCAUGAAGUGCUUGAUGAAGAAACAAAUAGAAGAUAAAAGUAUGGAAGCAAAAGAAAAUGCAAAACUUACUACGAGAUGAAGAGAAAAAUAAGAUGCAGUGUUUGAUGAAGAAAUAAAUAAAAAGUAUGAAAGCAAAAGAAAUGAAAAACUUACUGUGAGAUGAAGAGAACAAAAAGAUUGUUGAUGAAGAGCAGAAAAUAAUUGAAGAUUGUAGAAUGAAGAUGAAGAUUGUGGGUUGAAGUAAAGAGAACAAAAAGAUUGUUGAUGAAGAGUAGAAAAUGAUUGAAGAUUGUAGAAUGAAGAUGAAGAAGAGAAUGAAAUCUGAAACUGGAAAACAUUUGUCAUAAAAAUAAUAAACUAUUAAAUUUCUGUCGGUUAAAACCGACAGAAAACUCAAAUAAUAACGGCUAGAAUACUAAAAUGAUAAAGUAAUAAAUUUCUGUCGGUUCAAACCGACACCGUGCACUUCAAAACCGCCAAAAUAUAAAAAAAAUAUUUUCAAAAAAAAUUCAAAAUUCCUGGCGGUUAUAAAACAUUUGUGUCGUUUUUACCCGACAGUAAAUAUCCGACAGUAAUUACUGUCGGUUAUAAGCGACAGAAAGUUUCCUUUAUCCGACACUAAAUAAAUUAUGUGUCGGACAUCUGUUAUCUGAUAGUAUGACUCGUUAACCGCCACCACUGUCCGACACUUAAAGCUAAUAUUUUUCAAAACAAACAAAAUACACAGCAGAAGAAAGUGGAUAAUUACCGCGUCCGUUAUGCGUUGUGGCAAUUCGAUGCCCUCGCGAUUUCAGAACUUCAAAGCACUCAGCAGUAGAGUUCCAAAUUUCAAUGUCCAACCAUUUCUCCGCUCCCAUACUGACAUGGCGAUUGUUUCUAUAUAUGAAACAAGAUCAAGCUGAGGUUAACAAAGUUAAUUCGACAACAAAGAACCGGACAACUAAGCUCCUCCACGGUUUCCUUAGUCGGGUUCUCCGGCGGUUCUAGGGUUAGAAAUGUGUGUAUGAGUGUCGAUCGAGAGAGAGAGUAUCUUGGUUGGAAGGAAGCGGAGAGAAGGCGCUCAUAGUUCCGUCCCGUCCCAAGCUAACAUUAUACCAAACAACAAACGGAACAUGGGUAAGUUAUUUUAAUCUUUUGGUUUCGUUCCGUCCUGCGCUUACCAAACGCAGAACGGAACAACUCUCCUGUUCUGUCCUGCGCCUACCAAACAUAACAUGGAACCACUAUUCCAUCACGUUCCAUUCCGUCCCGUCCGCAUACCAAACGGUACCUUUAGUCCCAACUGGUGAGACCUUUAGACCAUAGUAUGAGGUAGAACUAAAAGUUACAAACUACUCUUCUUUACUCGAGCUGGAGGCAAAAAAUUCAACCUGGACUAAAAACAUGGGUCUGAUGUCUACAACUUCGCAAAAGAAAUCAACGGCUGAACUACGAUUUCUCCCUUUUAAAUCCUUUGACAGUCUCCUCCUAAUUUAUACUGUCACUUUGUGACUAGAAAAUAUCAAAUGAUUGGUAUAAUCUUCAUAAUUUUGGGAAAACAUCGUCAUUAUAGUUUUCUAAAAGUCUUCCAUUCUUCGAGUCUACUGUUAGUACUGAUUUAGUACUGAGGUGCUUUUAUAAAAAGUAGGUAUUAAAAAAAGCUAACCUAAAAAAGAUGUUUGGUAAAUACUUAAAAACAGCUUAUUUUCAUAAUUUUGAAUGGAAAAAAAAUGAAAACGUGAAGCAGCAAAAAUGAGUUUAUUCUCACAGCAUAACAAAAACAGUUUUUUUUCAAAACACAGUAAUACCAAACCAGCCCUUAGUCAACUAUGAAAGUGAGGAGACCCAUUUAUGGAUUUGCUAUUCUUAGCGAUAUAACUACAUAUAUGUUGGAGUUACAACCUCAAUCCUAUCGAUUAUACGAAAACCAAAAUAGAAUUACGUCACACAAGAACUACUAAACGUCUCAUUAUAAACCAGUUAUAACUGAAGCCUCCUAAUUGGAUAGUGCUUUUCCCAUGUUAGGCUUCUCUGACUGAGGUGAUGCAGAUACCAAAUUGGAGCGGUGCUGUUAGUGGAGGAAUCUGGUAGAAACGAUGAGUUUGUAGAUUGAAUUUGUGCAUGAUGAUAAUGAAACAUAAUAUGUUGUUUUCGUAGUUCUUUUUGCUUUCAAAGUUUAUUGCUCUGUUGUGUUCGUAAACUCUGGGUUCUUACGGUUCUUUGUCUCUCUUACUUCAGAUUCUUUACGUUUUAUCAUUCAUUUGUGAAGAAAUGGGUCGUAUGAAAUGGUAAGGCUUUGAGGAAGGCACUCGCCACCAAGGUGAGUUUCGUUUGGGUUUCUAAUGUCUAGAAAAUUAGAAUUGAUAAUUGCAAGCGAUUUUUUUCCGAGAAACAAUCAGAUUAUUAAAUUUAAGUUGCUAAUUGUUUUAAUUUUGUAUAUGCUGCAAUUAAAUCAGCACCCAUAACUGGAGGAGUCAAGAAGCCUGACUGCUACCACCCUGGAAUCGUCACUCUUCGGUAAAUUUUCAACACAAUAUAGUUCAAAUCCUCUAAAUCACGUUCUUGAAUUUUACCAUAUGUAUCGUGUUCUUUGCAUUUCGUUAUCUAAAUUCUGUUUUUUGAAUUUGGUUACCGGAAUCUUGCCUAAUGUUUGAUGAGGCCAGUGGCUUUGUAUGGCUGGCUGGUAUGAUUUGGGAGUGUUUUUAGUUAAUGGCAGACAUAGGACAAAGGUUUGGGGCAGGCGCAACGAAGUCAAGUGGGAUCAGGAAUUUAGGAUAGUAGAGUUUUUGCUAAUUUAUGGGAUUAGAAGUCUUUCUUUAUUUUAUGUCUUGGUGCGAUGAAAGAUAGGGUAAAUUACACUUUACCAUCUCAGAUUUGAAAUCUAUUACAACCUCAUACAACAUCUUCAAAAAAUUUCACUUUUAUAUCUUACGUAUUAUUUUAUUUCAAUAAAAUAUAUCUGUUACAUUUUCCAAUCUGUUAAGAGUUGACAUGCCAAUCAUAUUUGUGACAUGUGGGCUGUGGCUGCAAAAUUUGUGCCACUUAGCAAAAAAAAAAAAUUUUAUGAUUAAAAAUAUUAUAAUAUUUAUACUAUUAAAAAAAAAUUAAACUGAAACCCAGAAACCCAACCCCACCCUCACCUCCCUGCAACCCGCAACCCCCACCCCCACCGGAAAUUGACCCCAAAACCCAGCCCAUUUGAGCUACUCCACAUCGUCUCUUAUCUUCUCUGUCUCUGGCUUUUCAAUUCCAGAAAAUCCAUUCCAGAAAUCAGAGGGCAAUGGAAUCAAAAACAAAAACCCAAAAAAGUGCAAGAAACCCAGAGCAAAGAAUGGGGAAAUUCGGUCGGGAAUACGUAGCCCGAGAGGCCAAGGCAGUCGCAACAACCACCAAAAUCCUCUUCUUCUCCCGCUUCUUAUUCCCUCUCGACCCACCUGGCGAUGCCGCGAUGGUGGAGGUCAGAGAAUCCCACAUCCCUCUCCAAACUCUCGUCAAAGAUCUCGAGAAAAUCAUCCAAACCCUCGCGCUGGGGAGGUCUAGGGAACAGAUGACGGGGUAGGAGGAGGAGGCGUUGUGACUCCAAGCCAAUUUUAGGGGUGGAGUCGGCGCCGUUCUAGGAUGAGAGGGAGGUCGGGGUAACGGUUUCUAGGUUUUUGGCUUUUUUUUUUAAUUUUUUAAUUUUUAAUAGGGUCAAUAUUAUAAUAUUUUUUAAUCAUAAAUUUUAAUUUUUUUUUUUUUGUGAUUUGGCACAAAUAUGGUAACUACGCCAGCUCUUAACGGAUUAAUGAAUGAAAAAUAUAACAGAUGUAUUAUAUUGAAAUAAAAUAGUACAUGAAGGAUGUGAGGGAUAAAAGUAAAGAUAUUGUAUGAUAUUGCAAUAGAUCUCAAACUUGAGAUGGUAAAAUGUAAUUUACCCAUUAAAUAGGUGAGUAAUUUUAACUCUAGUUUAAGGUAAUAACAUGUGAAUUUUUCGUAUUACUGUUUUUUCCCUUUCUAUUAAAAACAACCCUUGAUUUAUUUGGUAGUGCAUUUCUCUAUCUGUGCUAUUGUAAUUGUUCUCAGGUAUACUGGAACUAAAUUUUUCAUGAUGCUCUUUCCUUUUCUUCUCAGUGAAAACACAUACUAAAGCAACAACGCUAUGGUGGCGGGAAUAAGCGUUCUCACAUAUGUAUGGAUGUGUGAUAUGAAUCAGGUGUGUAUGUACACCUUUAUACAUGCAUCUGUGGAAAUACAUACGAUUGAGCCUGGUUUUUGUUUUAAGUUUGUAUACUGGUUGUCAGGUUCUAGAUGUUUGCUUACCUAGCAGUGGUUAUUCUGAUUUAGUGGUUAAAAAUGAAAAUUUCACUCACAAUACGGGAUUAAUUGAGGUUCAUACAUGCAUUGAAGUUACUCCCCACAAAGUAAGAAAGUUGCAACAUUGAAUGAUAGACAUGCAAAGAAAGAAGGGAAGUGGGGGAGUCCGACAUGGGGUUUGGGAACUUUAAUCUGGAUAUGGAAAGUGAUGUAUACUUGUGAUGAAGAAAAAGAAAAUAAAUAAAAGUAGGGGUGUGCUAUCCACACACCCCAAAUUACUUCCCACACACCCCUUGUUAAUUUCUGUCCGUUGAUCUUCUUCAAUUCAUCCGAUCCGACGGCCGAAAAUUAAAAGGGUGUGUGAGAAGUAAAAUGGGGUGUGUGGAUAUCACACCCCUAAAAGUAAUGCUCUCUGAUAUAAAUCUGGUCGAUCGCUCAGAGAUGCGCAUUUCCCAAUGCAUGCAUGCAUGUCUCUCUCUCUCUCCCUCCCUGUGGCUGUGGGUCGAUCUGUGUGUUUCGGUGAUGGGUGGGUGUUUGCCUGCAGGCGUAACAAGUGCAUUUCAAUACCACUCAUACUUUAGGACAGGUCCAUUUCACAUUUAAUUUAAUUUGUUAAUGCGUAUUAAUAAUAUGAUCGAUUCAGAAUUCAAUCGAGAGGCUUGAGAGAGAUACUUGUCCCGAUGGAGACUACCUCACCACCAACAGUCACCCACAAUAUAUUAUGAUGUAGGCCUCUACCAUAACAAACGACACUGCAUUUGUCAGUUCACAGAAGAAAUCAUAAAAAAUCUUUUUCCUUAUUUUUUUCCCUUUACUUUUUUAGGUGCAUGCGGUCUAGAUUUUGGAAUACAAUACAAAUCUGGAAACAUAAUUUCCCCACCUUCAACUAUUGGUAAUGGUAAGGAAGCUGUAAUUACAAUUUAAGGAAGUUGAGUUUACAUUAUAAAUUGAAUGACAAUAUUAAGAGAGUAAUUCAAUUAAUUACUUAUAAUUUCAUGUAAGAUUCUUCCGUCCAUUAAUUUCAGUUUCAUUUUCAACAUCAGCAUCCCCUUCCUAAGGUAUGAUAUAUAUUUUUAGUAAUACGGUUUAGUGGUAUUUCUCUUCGCUUAGAAGUGAGAGAUCUUAGGUUUGAAUCUCGUGGAUGGUGAAUUCGAUACCAAAUUAGGUUGCUCCUUGUGUGGCUUUGUCGGACUCCCCCUCCUCCUAGUGUAAAAAUAUCGAUGUACUAAAAAAAACGAUAGUAUUAGUGGAGAGUUGGUGGAGAGGUGUUAAAGGGGAAAUAGAGUUGGUGACUCCACAACGUAAUAAGCAUUUCAGCUGUUCGAAACUCUAUAGAUCUCAACUAUUCAAAACCCUAAAAUUAGUUAUCCCAACAGGAUUUACAAACACAAAUUUUACAGAAGAUUUAUGGUAAUUCCAUGGUUCGGUACUGUGAUAAUUUCUAGUUAUUUUUUUUCUUUUUGCUCACUUUCCAGCAGACCUAUUGGAAGCUUAAUCCUAUCAUGCCGAAGGAGGAUUCAACCACAAAUCAACUUGAAGGGCGAAUGUUCAAAAGAAAAUUAAUAAGCCCAUAAGGACUAAUCGGAGUAGAACCAAGUGAGGAAGCUGGUAAUGGCCCGUACCGGCCCAAGUCCAAACAAUUAAGUCCAAUUAACUUCACCUCCAAUAUUAUUCCUUUUCGAUUGGUUAAGGGCUCGUUUGUAAUUGAUUUUAAAAUGACUGAAAACACUUAAAGUGCUUCUUGCAGGAAGCGCUAGUUAUGUGCUUUUUGCAAGAAAUACUUUAAAUGCUUUUCUAUGAUUCAUUUGCAUUUUUAUUAAGGAUUGAUUUCAAAAGCACUAUCAUUUGAAAACAAUUUCUAUCAUUUUAAAGUUAUAUGAAUGAGAUGAUGAUAUCUAAAGUAAGCUCAAUGUUCCUAAUCAUAAUUUUAACAAUAUUACAGGAAGAAUUGGAACAGAAAAUCCGUUCAGGAUACAACAUGCGGUUGCAUCUUUUGCUGCUCAUUUGCAUCACUACUACAGUUACUAUUUUCCGCAGCCAAAGACUACGAAACAAGCACAUUUCACUCCAUUGCAGAUGGCGAGACCUUAGUCUCAACUGGUGGAACCUUUGAGCUCAGAUUUUUCAUUCCCAGCUCUUCUGAAAACCGAUACGUGGGGAUAUGUUACAAGGAGAUAUUGGUUAUCACAUUUGUAUGGGUAGCCAACCGAGACUCACCCCUCAUUGAUUCAUCAGAUCUACUCACGGUCACCAUCCCUGGAAUUCUUGUCCUUUGGUCCUCGAACACACCAACAUCUGCGUCGAAUCCAGCAGCACAGCUUUCGGAUUCAGAAAUCUUGUUGUGACCGAUUGUAAUGAUCGUACCGACCCUGAGAAUUUUAUGUGGCAGAGUUUUGAUUACCAUGGUGACACAUUCCUAUCAGGUACAAAACUCAGUAGGAACACAAUUACCUGCUUUGCUUGUAAAAUAUAGUUCUUGAUACAUUGCCUUGCACGGUUACAUUACAUGUUCUCAGAAUAUGUUGUCGAUGGGUUCUACUAGAUAAAAUCUGACAUUUAUAGUUUUAGUGUUACGGUGCUCGAGAUAGUGAAUGGGAAGAGAAACAAAGGAUUUUCUCAUCCAGGCCACAACCUCAACCUGCUAGGACAUGUAAGUGCCAGUUGUCAAGUUGAUAAUUUUUCAUCGAAUUAUGCUAGAAGGACUAUAUUCUGACUGCAUUAGCUAAUGAUAUACAUUGUGUGACAGUGACUUCUCUAUUAACAUUUGGUGACUAUAACUCAUGUAAAAAAUGGAUUCGAUUCUGCUUAAAAAUAUAAAAUGUGGUUCGUCUAGCAUUAUUGUUUAUAUUGACUCGAUUAUUUAUACUUCUAUUUAUUCAGUACGAUUGGUGGUUGUGAUCUUUUAGGCAUGAAGUUUACACGUAGAAGGCAAGUCCAUUGAACUGCUCGAUACAUCGGUAGGAGACUUCAGUAAUCCACAUGUCGUUUUGCUGUCAAUCCAUGUGUCUUUUAUGCAUGCAACAAAAUCCGGCAGUAAUUCUGAUGUUGAGUGGUGAAAGUGCAUUGCCUCAACCUCAAAAACCUGGUUUUUAUAGUGAAAGGGAUCUAGAGGACCUUAUUUGUACCAUACUUGACCAAUCUCGAAACUACUGAGCACCGAUCAACGUUAUACCGUCAAGGACCCAGAAGAGUAUCCUUCCAACUAGGAGCCAAUCAUAGUGAGACACGUGUCAACAUCAGAAGCCAAUCAUAACACGACACGUGUCAAUAUCAAAACGAAGC
RNAcentral lists this long non-coding RNA (20966 nucleotides) under Malus domestica (apple). RNAcentral's name for it is "long non-coding RNA (MDOM_LNC019242)". Lineage: Eukaryota; Viridiplantae; Streptophyta; Magnoliopsida; Rosales; Rosaceae. The record is from RNAcentral.